Molecule: long non-coding RNA, 698 nt
Organism: Halichondria panicea
Lineage: Eukaryota; Metazoa; Porifera; Demospongiae; Suberitida; Halichondriidae
Exons: 2
Source: RefSeq, a predicted model, not a curated record
ACAUGGUGGACCUUUCAAGAGUUGAUAACUGUAGCAUAGUCAAUACAGUGAUGUUGUUUUAACCUGUACUUUCUGAUGUACCUGCUGACCUGCAGGUCAUAUCAUAAUAAUGUCUCCCUUGUGUACUCUAUAUCAUACCAUAGAUGAUACAGUACUGACGUGGAUGUGAAACGGCCUAGUAUCCGGAGGGGUCCACGGGAAUUGUCUGAAGCUAUCAUCGUAACGAGCAGAUUAUGUUAGAAACCCUGUAACUGUCAUGUUUAUAUAGCAACCAGAGCGUAGUAAACAGUGUUCCGUGUCUGAAAACUGGUGAAAAUGACCGGCACACAUUGAUACUUGCAGUGGGCUUGUAGUGUUGUCUUUCGCUGAGCUAAGAUAUCAAUUGCCAAAUGUUAGCUAAUUAUACUAUCAAGUGAAAUUUAUCCCAGGACCUACUCGAGUGCUACUUCUCUAGGCAACACCAUCGGUGAAGACAGCAUUAACGUCCAACCUCUUUUCAAGUGCCGUGUAUCUACACUUGUAUAGGAAUUUCGAACCGGCAAGUUGGAAUGUGUCUCUCUCACAGCCACUUCGUAAACGAUCAAGAAACAGUUUAUCGUGUACUAUAAAUUAAUACUCUCAAGACUAUUAUAAUAAUUAUUAGCAUGUACACGUACACGUACACGUACAGAUCAUCAACAAUUUCACCCGUUUGCUUA